GUAGGUGGCAAGCGUUGUCCGGAAUUAUUGGGCGUAAAGCGCGCGCAGGUGGUUCUUUAAGUCUGAUGUGAAAGCCCCCGGCUCAACCGGGGAGGGUCAUUGGAAACUGGGGAACUUGAGUGCAGGAGAGGAAAGUGGAAUUCCACGUGUAGCGGUGAAAUGCGUAGAUAUGUGGAGGAACACCAGCGGCGAAGGCGACUUUCUGGCCUGUAACUGACACUGAGGCGCGAAAGCGUGGGGAGCAAACAGGGAUUAGAUACCCUGGUAGUCCACGCCGUAAACGAUGAGUGCUAAGUGUUGGGGGGGUUUCCCGCCCCUCAGUGCUGCAGCUAACGCAUUAAGCACUCCGCCUGGGGGUUACGGCCGCAAGACUG
RNAcentral lists this ribosomal RNA (374 nucleotides) under uncultured organism. Its description in RNAcentral is "partial 16S ribosomal RNA". It matches the Rfam family "Bacterial small subunit ribosomal RNA", at positions 527 to 896 of the family's 1533-position model. The record is from RNAcentral.